GUUAAAUUUUAAUUAUUUAACACUUUUGUAUUUAUAUAGUCAAUAUUGAAUGUUUAAAACAAUAAAUGUUUUUUCACACAUUUCUCUCUUAUCUUAGUUUCCUAAUAAUUUAAAAAAAUAUUUUUGUAUUUUUUAUAUUAUAAGAUAUAGUAAUAUAUUAUAAAAAAAAUUUAAAUAUUGUUCAUCACAAGUGCUCGAUAGCGUAAUGGAUAAGAUGAUUAGUUACUAGUGAUGCCCAACGCAGUAUCCUAGGUUCGAAUCUUGAAUUUGGUAAGGUAGAAAUUUUAAAUUAAUGAUAAAAUUUAAGUAGUCUAAAAAAAUUUUAUUCUUGGUAUAAAAUCCAGGUCAUAUGCUGAUAUUAAAACGUGUACUUUAAUUCUAGAAAAGGAUUUCCAAAUCUAUAAAAAAAGUACAUACAGAAUCUUGUUAAUGAUAUGCACGAAUAACUCUACAUUAUGGACCCCGAUCAAGUUUGACCAAAGAGUAAAGAAUAACAAAAAAAUCUCACAUUUGGUUUCAGUAAGGCACUAUAAAAGUGAGUAUUCUCACGUCCGCCACUUUUCUUCAAACUAGUCAAGUAACUAACAUGAUGUUUUAUAUAUAUAAUACAUCGCAAUAACUUUUACAGUCUCAAGAUCAUAAAUAUCGUGUUUUAUUGUCGCAUAAAGUUUGGCGUUUCCAAACAUUAUUGACGUAUAUAUGCACAAAACAUACCUGAUUUUUCAUGCUAUUUACUUGCUAGUUUGAAGAAAAAUGGCGAACGUGAGAAUACCUACUUUUCUAGUGCUCUAGUUUCAGCGAUGGCGACAGAUAUAUAUAAAAAUGGGUACUCAAGAAUGACCGCUCACGCUUACAUGCACACAUCAUACACACAUACAUACAUACGCAUACAACACAUGAAAGGACACUAUAGAAAAUAUGUUGAUGCGCAUGUCACAAAAAUAAAUACCUUAGAUGGCUGCUCGAUUAUAUCCAUCGCUACUAAAUCGUACUCCCACUACCAAUACGGUCUUUCCUGUUAGUCUUUACUUUUUGAGUUUGACGGAUACUUUAACAUCCCUUGCUGGAUUAUUUCUCAAACUUGAUCAAAGUAGAGUCGUGUACAUUAUUAUUAAUAAAAUUUUAUAUGUAUUUAUUUUAUAGAUUUGGACAUUCUUUUCCAGAAUUAAAAUACAUAUAUUAAUAUCAAUCUGUGAAUUGGACUUUAUAUCGAGAACAAAAAUAUUUCUUCAUAUUGCUGUACUUCAUAUUGCUCGACUUUUUACGUGUAUAUAACAUUUUCGUUGCGCAAUUUCGUCUCAAUUCUAACCAAAAUCUAAUUUUUUAGGCUUCCAAUCUUAUUUCUAAUUGCACGAUAUUGUUUCUGAAGUUUUUUCUAGGGAGCAACAGGACCAUUUUAUAAAUAUAAACUAUACAUUUUUCAUACAAAACAAAUAUUGUCGUUAGGCGACUAAUAAAUAACGAUUUUUUAAUCAAUUUUUUAAUUUUUUUAUCAGAACAAAUCUUACAUCGCUCCCUUCAUUUUGUCCGUUUAAUAAUGUAAUAGGAUUUUAUAUUCUGUUAUUGCAAUUCAAAAACCCGAGUUAAUAAAAAAAAUGUCGGUAAUUCUACUACUCCAGGAUCCCAUUAGCCGGGCUUAGGCUAAUAUUUCAUGUGUCGUACGACAAGCUGUUUAAACGUUCUCGAUUGGUCAUAGACUAGAAAGAUUUUCGAGUCUCUAGAAAGGCUCUAUUUUAUUGCCAAUCAAAAAGUCUAAUUAACUUGUCGUACGACACAUGAAAUAUUGACCUUAAGCAUUAUUUUAAUUAACCCUUUGCGGUACACAUUUUUCUAUUAAUCGGAUUUUUUUGAUAAAAAUUGAUCUCAAAAAAUUUUUGGGGUCGCUGAUUACGAAUUCACCAUCAGAUUCGACGAUUCUUUUUUAAAAUGGCGGAUCCAAUAUGGCGGCUCACGGUUAUGAGUAUUUUUCGGUCUUUCAUAGAAAUUAAUAUACAGUCUUUUAUUGCUAAUGUUUUUUCGAGUAAAAAACAAUCAAUCUUACUAUUUUAGAUAUUUACUUACUUUUUGUAAAAGUUAAUAAAAAUAUAUAAUUUCGGAUAAUAAACAAUUGAAAAUUGAAUCUUAAAAAAUUUGAAUAUGCAAUGUUAGUUUAGUGCAGUGCUCGGAGUUAGCUGCCUUUGAUGACUUACACAUAAUCAACCUAGAAAAGCUUUGUAUAUCUGUUUUAAAUAAAGCAAAUGAGAAACUUCGAAAUUCUUCAACAUUUCGACCCGAAAAAAUUCUAUAUAUCAAUUUUUAUGAAAAAACCAAUAAAAAUACUCAAAAUCGUGAGCCGCCAUAUUGAAUCCGCCAUUUUGAAAAAAAUCAUUGAAAUCUAAUACCGGAUACGUAAUCAGCGCUCCGAAAACCCCCUGUAUACCAAUUUCCAUAAAAAACCGAUAAAAAAUACUCAAAAUCGUAAGCCACCAUAUUGGAUCCGCCAAAAAGAUCGUCGAAAUCUAUUAACAAAUUCGUAAUCAACAUUCUGAAAAAUCCGUUUCUAUAAAAAACCAAUAAAAAAUAAUCAGUUAUCCGCUAUAUUAGAGCCGUCAUUUUGACAAAGAAUCGUCAAAAUCUGAUGGCGGAUUCGUAAUCAGCGACUCCAAAAAUCACUGUAUACUGAUUUUCGCGGCUUCACGAUUCUUCUUUCAUUCUGAUAAACAUUUUUCGUGAAAAAUACUUUUUUACUCUUUAUUUAUUUAUCUAUCUGUCUAUAUAUAUAAGUCGCGAUGUCUGUAUGUCCGUAACUCCUCGGACUGCGUCGUCAUCCGAUUUUAACGCCACUUGGGUCAAAAUUUAGCAAAUUUUCCGGAGACUGCUACCAUGGGUUCGAAUUUUUCAAAAACAGGUUGUUUAAAAAAUGAUGAGCAAAAAUAUACGUUUUUUUGACUAAAGUUUGUAUUGUCGCGAACUCCUCCGUCAUUUAUGAUCCGAUCCUCUUGCAACUGGUCUCAAAUUUUAGCAUUUUUUCCGAGGACGGCUACUACGAAUUCGAAUUUUUCAAAAACUGGAUGUUUCAAAAAUGAUAGGCCUUAAUAUACGUAUAAAUGACUGAAGUCUGUUUGCCCACGAACUACUCCGUUCUUUUUGGUUCGAUCCUCUUGCAAUUGGUUUCAAAAUUUUGUAUUUUUUCCGGGGACGGUUACUAUGGAUUCGAAUUUUUCAAAUACAAAGUAUUUCAAAAAUGAUAGACCAAAAUAUAUACGUAUGAAUGACUCAAGUCUGUUUGCUCGCGAACUACUCCGUUCUUUUUGGUCCGAACCUCUUGCAACAGGUCUCAAAAUUUAGCAUUUUUUCAGAGGACGGAUACUAAGAGCUCGAAUUUUUCAAAAACAGGGUGUUACAAAAAUAAUUGGCAAAAAUAUACAUAUUUAUGAUUGAAAUCUGUAUGCCCGCGAACUACUCCGUCAUUUUUCUAGGGCUUUUAUGGGCUCACAUUUUUCAAAAACUGGGGAUUUCAAAAAUGAUAAGCCAAAAUAUACGUUUGAAUGAUUGAAGUCUGUAUGGCCGCAAACUACUCCGUCAUUUGUGGUCCGAUUCUAAUGCAAAAGAUCUUAUUUUAUUCCAAAUUUUACGAGGAUCGCUGCUAUGGGUUUAGUUCUUCAAAAUAUAGGGUUUUUCAAAAAUUAUCUAUACAUAUAUUGAUUAGUAACGAAUAAGCGUUUGUCUGUAUAACCGCGAACAACAUCGUCAUUUGUAACCCGAAUCUUUUGCAAAUGAUCUCAUUUUAUUCCAAAUUUAACGAGUAAGGCUGCCAUGGAAUUGAAUUUUCCAUAUACAAGGUGUUUCAUUUAAGGACUUACAUUUCUUAAAGUUACGCCAAACAUUUAUAAAAUAACCUGUAUAUGAAAAUAAAUAACUAAUCAAUGUAAAAAAGUGUUAUUUACAUAUACAGGAUUUUUCAAAAAUUUAUAUAUAUAAGUUUAGUUGUCUGUAUGUCUGUAUGUCCACGAUAAUUUUCGUCAUUUGAUGUCCAAUCCUCAUGCAAUUAGUCUUAUUUUGUUUUAAAUUUCUUCCUGAUUAAAAUUAGAGGUUUGUUUUUAACAUAAACAGGAUUGUCCAAAAUUUACUUUAUAUAGAUUAGUAACGGAUAUGCGUUUAUCUGUAUGACCGCGAACUACACCGUCAUUUGUGACUCAAACUUGCAAAUGGACUCAUUUAUUCAACUAUCAAACAACACCACUAAUAAUUUUGUAUUAUUUUUGUAUUAUUGUUAUACACAAGCGCGACUUAAUGGUGAUUAGAAUUAAAAAUUUAAAUCUUUAGAGGGAGUCGUAUUCUGUGACAAUUACUUGAAAAAUGAAAUAAGUUAUAAAUACGUAAAUAAAUGAAUAAAUCAGUUUAAAUAUAAGUUAAUAGUUUCAUAUAUUGCAUGUUAUUUUAAAAUAGAUUAAAAAUCUUAUUAUAAUAAAUAAAUUUAAGAUUUAAAAGAAGGUUCAGAGGAUUUAACUAGAAUGGUAGAGAGUAAUUGAUGUUCAAAAAAAAAAAAAAAACAUUUCAACGAUGUAUAAAGCGGUAUUUCGAAAUACAGUUGUUUCAAAAAAGAAAUUUUUAAAAAAGUUACUACCAUCAUUUCAGAAACACCCUGUAUUUUCGUGCAAAUUUUAGGAUCCGUAGACAAACAGACGUGGUACUUAUAUAUGUGUGUGUGCGUGAAGUAAAAACUUUUGAGCCCGCGCGAAGCGCGGACGAAAAAGCUAGUAUAACAAAAUUAACUAAUAAUAAAGGAAAAUUACACCCUAUCAAAUAUUACUAUAAUAAAAUUCUUACUGAAAUAAAAUUACAAGAAAAAAAUAAAAUGCAAUAUUUAGUAUUGAAAAAAUUGAAAAAAUAACUUCAAGAUAAGUAGUCGAUAUAUCGACCACCAUGCCGCAAAGAGUUAAAACACUUGUGCCUAUCGUUGGAAUUAGAAUUUUUUAUUUCACAUAAUAAAUAAAUAAAUGCCACUUGUUUUAAAAAGUCCAUUUUUCAUUAUAUUUCUGUUUCAAAAUGUAAAAAAAAAUGUAAAAAAUUAAUUAAACUUAAGAUACUUAUUAGCAUUAAAAUAUUAUUAAAAUACGGGUAAAGUUCUAAUUAGAUCGAACCCCCGAUAUUUUGGAAACUACGUAUUCUUACGUAUUUUAGCGCAAUGAUUACGAAAAUGAUAGUAAAUUUGACGUAAAUUUGAUUUUCAUGAUGGAAACUAUGAAAAAAACCAUAAAAAUCAUGAUUUUUUAAAUGAAAAUGAUGAUUUCCGCCAUGAAAAUCAAAUUUGCGCCAAUUCACUAUAAUAUUCGUAAUCAGUGCGCCAAAAUACGUAAGAAUACGUAGUUU
This is a long non-coding RNA of Monomorium pharaonis (pharaoh ant), 5352 nucleotides long. RefSeq lists it as uncharacterized. The transcript is spliced from 2 exons. NCBI's taxonomy places the organism in Eukaryota, Metazoa, Arthropoda, Insecta, Hymenoptera, Formicidae. The record is from RefSeq and is a predicted model, not a curated record.